GGAAGGGAGAGGCGGCAGCCCUCCGGUCGUCGUCGCGUGUUGCCAGGCCGGGUGACUCGCGGUCGGGAGAGGGCGUGGGCGCGGGAGGCGGCCGGACUUCGCUGCUGUGCUCCAAGGCAGGCUCCUCCGGAACCAUAUCUUUGAAGACUCCGCGCCCGCCAGCUUGGGUGUCCGGCGGGACCCGAGCAAAGUUUGUUCCAGCACCUUGCCUCACCCUGAAUGCGCUGCUUGGAAAACUGUUGGAGGGUGUGUUUGUAUUUUCCUUUUUUCCCUUGCCCGUGAACUACCUUUCCAUUUUCAUUUCUCUUUUACAUUUUUUUUUAACCCUCUUCCUUGUCAACUUUGUUUUCAGACUUAUUAAUUCAAUGAAUAUUUAUAUUACCCCUUACCAGGUGUCCGUGGUAGCGUGGUUUGGUGGAAAUGAACUAUGCUUUGGAGUCAAGACAGAUCUGCCAUCGGAUUCUGGUUCUGAUAGUCUCUCUGUAACCUUGGACCAGUUAUUUAACCUUGCUGAGGCUCCGUUUCUUUGUCAUAUGUUUGCUUUUGCUUAUUUUAAUUUACUCUUUUAUAUUUGAAAUUGUUCUGGGCUUUUUGGUUUGUGUGUGUAUCAUAUAGGAGUCUGUCCCUAGGCGAAAGCUGUUCUUAAUCCUGUACACCCCGUUACUAGCUCUGUGACCUGGGGCAACGCAUGACAGCUUUCCUAGGCCUUGAUUUCCCCGUCUUUAAAAUCAGCCAGAUUACAGAUGGUAAUAUGGCUAAUAAUGAUCAUAACAGUUGGAAUUUGGAGCAUUUAGUGCUAAAAUGUGUAUAAAAUAUCUAGCACAGGACACAGUAUAGAUAGUGUUACCAUAUUUAAUUAAAUCUACUUUCAAACAUAUUAAAAAGCUUGUUUUAAAGUCAAGAAAUAAGUAUUGAGUCACUCAGAUCUACCCAAGCACUCUAUUUGGUAGUAACUAGUGAUAAACUAGCUGUCAGCCAAAUAAGGUUUAAACAAACGGGAUUUAAACGGGGACUUUGUCACCAGAAAUAUUUCCAUUGCACUCGUGGAGCUUUUGCCUAAAUUAAGUCCAGCACAGCUGUUGAAGAAAGAGGUCCAUCCAGGCUAUCAUUGGGGUUUGGUAAGUGGAGAGAACCCGGCUUCUGACAAGUCGAGCUAACACUUACUGAACGUGUGCCUUUCUAAGCACUUUACAGUAUUGGCGUGUGUGAUCCUGGGUACCAACACUAAGGAGCUUCUGGGUCUUGGGCUAUAAAAGUGAGGACAACCACACCCUACAGUUUUGUGAUGAGUAAUUGAUGUCUGUAAAUAUAUUAAGGUACAGACAUUAAGGCAUUGUCAAUAGUAUACAUGGCUGGAGCAGGUAAGAGAAGCAACAAAAAUAACUGGACUCCAGGAAGGAAUAAGAGUAAGUAUAGAGGCUUAGUUUGUUUCAGUUUGGGGAGUUGUUAGCUUAUUCUGUUAAGGAGAGCAAACAGAAAAAGUGUCUAAACCUCAAGAGAAUCUCAGAUCUUUGACAGUUAUUUCACUGUUUGCAAUCAGUCAAAAGUAAGAAAAUGAAAAUGACUAAACAUUUUUCUUCUUUGUAUAAGCAUGAGAAGGAAUAUUUUAGUUAUCUGGUGUUUUCAUGGCUGAAGGAAACAUUUCCUCAAUUCGGUUAGAGGUCAGGCCCUUUGCUUUAAAACAACCUUCUGCUUGCUGUUCUGUGGUAUGGGAGAUGUCAUUUCCAGAAAGAUUAAGUGCUUAUACCAAAUUGUCCAUCAGAUGAUUUCUGGUCUUCAGAAAUGGUUCCUCCAGUCCUUUCCUUUCCCUGUACCUCUGAGUUCUUCCAUUGUCCUUACCUCGCUAACCCAUCUUUCAUAUUGUGGCCCAACUAUGUUCUGUAAAACAAGCUAAUGAGUGUAAACACUGGCCAAAUCUGAAUAAGGUCUGUAGCCUAGUUAAUUGCAUUGUGCUAAUGUCAGCUUCCUGGCUUUGAUAGUUUUCUAUAGUUUUGUAAAAUGCUACUACCAUCGGAGGGAGCUGGGUGAGUGUACAUGGGCCCCCUCUGCAACUUCCUGUGAGUGCAUUAUUAUUUCAGAGUAAAAAAUUAUGGAGACAAAAAUCAUCAAUAAUUGCGUGCCUCAGAGGGAGGGUGGGACAGUGGGCGUUGACUACAGAGAGAACUUUUUAAGAUAAUGAAGAUGUUCUAAGUCUUGAUUGUCUUAGUGUUUACUGUACACCCAAAAAGGGCAAAGUUUAUUUAUAUAAAUGAUACCUGAAAACUGACUUGAAAAACAGAAAAGCAAGCUCUUGUCAUCCCAGCCUCCUAUGGUCCAAAGGGUGAAACCUAACUUCUCAUAUAAGGUCCAACAAAUUUUUCCUUUGUCUCCCAGUGUACCCUGUGCUGUCUUGUACUAUAUUGAUUCCUGCUGCUGGGCCUUUGCACAUGUUCUUCCCUUUGCUUAAAGAGAACACAGGAAAUUCAGGCCCAAAUUCAAAUUCCCUGUACUCUGUUAAGCCUUCCUUGCCUCUAUUAGGCAUACUAGCGCCUUCCUCUGUUCUCAUUAAUGCUGUGCUGUAAUUUUUAUUUUAUUUUACUUUUUUUUUAUUUUAGAGAGAAUCUUCAGUGGGUUCCAUGUGGAGCCUGAUGUAGGGCUCAAUCCCAUGACCCUGGGAUCAUGACCUGAGAUGAAAUCAAGAGUCGGAUGCUCAACUGACUGAGCCACCCAGGCGCCCCUGUGCUGUAAUUUUUAAUUAGUUUUCAUCUCAGCUAAACUCCAGGGUAGGCAAUCACAUGAUUCAUUUCUAUCUCCGGGAUCCAGUAGUGUUGAAUGAGUGAGUGAAUGAAUGAAUGAGUGAAUGAUUUAAAACGGGAAGAAUGCUUAUUAAAGUAACUUCUGAAGGUGUAGUCCAGUGUCCUCAAGAUUUUUCUCAGGGGGCAGUGACACUACUUGGAUUUUCUUAUAUACUUCGAACAGCCCAUCUCAAUAGUUUGAAUGUAGAGGCAGAUGAGGGAAUCCAGCUGUCUUCAAUUAAGCCAAAUGUUAAAGGUAUUUGCAAAGCUGUAAAACAUUGUCACACCUCCAAAUGUUUUUCUUUUGGAAAAUUGUUAUUUUUCUUAAAAAUAUUUGUUGCUGGGGUGCCUGGGUGGCUUAGUCGGUUAAACCUCUGACUUCAGCUCGGGUUAUGAUCUUACGGUUGAUGAGUUUGAGCCCCAAGUGGGGCGCUGCAUUGACAUUGUGGAGCCUGCUUGGGAUUCUCUGCCCCUCCCCCGCUCACACUCAAAAAUAAACAAACAUUAAAAAAAAGCUUACAAAAAAUUUGUUAAAAUUUGGGUUUAAGUGUGUAAAGGGGUUGUUAGACCAAAACGUUUAAGAAUCCCUGCUUUUAGCGGCACCUAGGUGACUCAGUGGGUUGAGCAUCUAGCCUCGGCUCAGAUCAUGAUCUCACUGCUGGUGAGUUCGGGCCCCACAUCCAGGUCACUGUCAGCGUGGAGCCUGCUUAGGAUCCUUUGUCCCCCCUCUCUCUGCCCCUUACCUACUUGUGUGUGAUCUCUCAAAAAUAAACAUUAGAAAAAGAAAAAAGAAUCUCUGCCUUUAGAGACUCUUACAACCCCCUCAUUGUUCAAAUGAGAAAUGAUAAUGAUGCCAACAUUUAAGUAGUGCUCUGGCCUUGUGAUGCCUUGGUUUUUUUCCAAUCUAACCAUGUGCACCUAUACUUCAGCCACCCACUCCCCUCAUGACCAUACCUGGAACUUGGUUAUACAACUUCCUGUUACGACUUCCUAUUUGUCCAGUUUUCUUAAUCUAGCACUAAAUGUAUUCUUUAACUUACUUAGGACCCCACUACCUUGAACUUUCCACUUGGCCUUUCGUUUUCCUUUUAACCCCAUUCUCUUCCUGACCCAGUGGAUGCUGCCAUGGUCCUCUCGCUAUUCUCACUCAUAACCUUUGACUCUUUAGACCCCCUCAUUUUCAAGCUGCACCAGCUCUGCAAACUCCCAGCCCUGAAUCCGUUGCGUGAUUCUAUUUCUGCUUGGAGUGCAGAUCACAGCAGAUCACAAAAUGAUGGAAAUGUACAGAUUGGGUGGAGGGGAGAGCUGUUACAGAAUCUAGUGGGUCCAAUUGCAGUUGGGACUCAGUAUUGUUCAGCGGUUUGUGUCUUUGAUCAGCACCCUGUAUUUUCAGAUUGCUAGAAAAUUUCACUUGGCUUCAACUACUUACACAUCCACAUCCCCAACAGAUAACCUCACCUUCUAAUCACAGGAAGUAAAGUUCAAAAAGCAAGAGUUUCCCCUCCCACUAUGAGCCUCCAAGGGAAUCUGUACAUAUGUAUCCUGCUGCCUCACAUCCUUGCCACCGUCCCAGAAGAACAGAGAUGUCCCUCUUUUGGUUCAUCCCCACCUCUGCUUAGGAUCCCACUUCAUCUCAUCUUGGAUCAUGCUCCCUUAGCCUCCCCCUCAACAUCUGUACUUCCAACUGCUCAGCGUCACUGGUUCAUUUCUCUUGUCCAAGAACACUCCAACCCUAGGGGUGCCUGGGUGGCUCAGUUGGUUAAGCGUCCAACUUUGGCUCAGGUCAUGAUCUCACAGUUCGUGAGUUUGAGCCCCACAUCGGGCUCUGUGUUGACAGUUCAGAGCCUGGAGCCUGCUGAGGAUUCUGUCUCUCUCUCUCUCUCUCUCUCUCUCUCUCUCUCUCUGCCCCUUCCCCCACUCAUACUUUGUCUCUUUCUCUCUCAAAUAUUAAUAAAAUAAAAAAAACCCACUCCAACACUAUACUCCCUCCAGUACUGCCCUGUUUCUUUCUCUUCAGAGUCAAGCUUCUUGGAAGAAUUCUCACUUCUCUUCCUCAGCUUUAUAACCUGAUUAAUCUUAUUGUUUGGUUUUUAAUGCUGUGAGCCACUCCUAUUCCCUACCAUGUCUGUGCUCUUCCUAUAUCCCCUAGAGUUGAGCAGAGUCGCAACCUACUCAGACACCUAAGAUGAAGUCAACAGUCAUCCUAGACUUCCCUCCCAUUUACCUCUCAUGGCCUGUUGGUCACCAGAAAAUUUUAUCCAUGAAACAUUGGUCAAGUUCACCCCUUUCUCCAUUCCCGAGGCAGCCAAACCAUUUCAGGCCACUAUCAUCCAUCCUUGAGACUCAGAGUGAUCUUGACUCCUUACUACCAAUCAUGCUGUCUUCCAUUGUACCAUUUCCAGUUAGCUGGUUUUGUUUUUCCUUUUUGACUAUCAGUACAGAGCCUGAUGGGGGGCUUGAGCCCACGAACGGUGACCUGGGCCAAAAUCAAGAGUCAGUUGCUUCACCAACAGAGCCACCCAGGCAUGCCUCUUUUUUGACUAAAUUUUUUAAACUGGCAUUCUGGCUGGCUUUGUUGGUACAGCAUGUGACUCCCGAUCUCAGAGUUGUGAGUUCAAGCCCCACGUUGGGAGUGGAACCUACUCAAAACAAAAACAAACUGUAAAAGUAAUACAUGUUCAUCAGAAAAAUUUUGGAAAAUACAGAAAAGCAUAAAAAAGUUGCUUAUAAUCUUAGCACCCAGAGACAAACAUUGUUAUAUCUUGAUCUGUUUCCUUCCUAGAGCUGUUGUUCAGAAUCACAGACUGGAUCCUAUUCCACUGCUUAAAGCCCUUCAAUGUCUUACUUUUUUUUUUUUUAAUAAUGUUUAUUUAUGUAUUUUGAGAGAAAGAGAGAAUCCCAAGCAGGCUCCACGCUCAGUGCAGAGCCCAUUGUGGGGCUUGAUCCCAUGACUGGGUUCAUGACCUGAGCCAAAAUCAAGAGUCAGACACCCAGCCAACUGAGCCACCUAGGCAUCCCAAUGGCUCACUUUCAAUGUUCCAGAUCUCUUACAGAUCAGAUGAUAACUGAAAUGCCUACCAAGGUCCAAAGUCUAUAUAGGGUCUAUCUCUAUUUAUCCAACUUGUCUACUACUCUCUGCCCUGUGGUCAGUGUUACGCACCAUGUGGUCGGUGUUAAGUAGGUUGCCCUGGCUUUAGUCUGGUCUCUCUGCUUUCAGGGCCUUUGCAUUUGCUUCUCUGGCAUGUCUGUACCGGAGUCUUCAUAUGACAGGCUUAACUUAAGAUCGUUUUGGAAAAGCCUUUCCUGAGCAUUCUAAGACCCUCCCACACACACUGAUUGUUUUUUAAUGUUUAUUUAUUAUUGAGAAACAGGCAGAGCAUGAGCGUGGGAGGGGCAGAGAGAAGGGGAGACACAGAAUCCAAAGCAGGCUUCAGGCUCUGAGCUGUCAGCACAGCACCCGAUGCGGGGCUCAAACUCACAAACCGCGAGAUCAUGACCUGAGCCAAAGUCAAGACGCUUAACCAACUGAGCCACCCAGGCGCCCCCUGAUAUUUUUUUAAGUCCUGUUUCUUACUCUUUACCCAUAUGAAUUGUUAAGCCAUUGCAAAACAGGAUUUCAAGAGGUAUGCGUAGGCUUUGCCCAUUCUUUGACACUGCAGUCCCACUUCAAGACAUUUAGCCUAUCUGAAUCAUGAUACAUGUAAAGAUUUUAGAUACAAGGAUGUUUAUCAUAAUGUUCUUUUUUAAAAAAAAAGUUUUUGUGUGUUUUAAUGUUUAUUUAUUUUUGAGAGAGAGAGAGAGAGUCAAGCAGGGGAGGGGCAAAGAGAGGGAGACAGAAUCCGAAGCAGGCUUCAGGCUCCAGGCUCCGAGCUGUCAGCAGAGAGCCUGACGCGGGUCUGGAACUCCCGAACCUUGAGAUCAUGACCCGAGCUGAAGUCGGAGGCUUAAGCGACUGAGUCACCCAGGUGCCCCCGUUACGUUGUUUUUUAAUAUUUAAAACUGAAGACAAAGUUAUUAUGCUUUAUAUAAAACCAAAGCAGCUAGAAAUACAUCUGUGGUACAUUUUCAGUGAAAAAAGCAGGUUUCAAAAUAUAUUCUGGUCAUUUUCUAAAUGAUGCCUUUUCUAAACGGCAUGAUGCCUGCCUUUCUUUCUUUCUUUCUUUCUUUCUUUCUUUCUUUCUUUCUUUCAUAAACACUGGAUAGAUCCCAGAUUCUUAAUAUGGUUAUGAGAGAGGGCAAUAUAAAUGAUGUACAUUUUUGUUCAAUACAUAUUUUUUAAUGUUUAUUUUUGAGAGAGACAGUGUGUGUGCAGGGGAGAAAGAGGGGCAAAGAGAGAUGGAGAGAGAACCCCAAGUGGGGGCUUGAUCCCAUAACUCUGGGAUCAUGACCUGAGAUGAAAUGAAGAGUCAGACGCUUAACUAAGCUACCCAGGUGCUCCUGUUCAACAUAUACAUAUUUAUUGAGAGUCUUCUGUGUCCACCAAAGACACAAGGAUGAGAAAGAAAACCAUAUUCCCAUUCUCAAGUUGUUCACAUUGUGGUGACAAAAUGAAUUGAAUUGAACUGGUGUUCUGAUAAGUGUCAAGAGUAUUUUGAGAGCAUAUGAUACAAAUGUGAAGGGCCUUUUCCCCCUUAGUUUUGAAAUUUUCUAUAACGAACAUAGACUAGCUUUGUAAACUUUUUUUUUUUUUUUGAGAGAGAGAGAGAGAGAGAGAGAGAAUGAAUCUCAAGCAGGCUCCACGCUCAACGCCGAGCCCAACACAGAGCCCCAUCCCAUGACCCUGGGAUCAUGACCUGAGCCGAAAUCAAGAGUAGGACGCUCACAUGAACCGAGCCACCCGGGGAACUCCCCUUUUUCCUUUUUUUUUUUUUAUGUUUAAAAAAGAUUGGCAUUGAAAUAAUUGGGAGAUAGAAGGUGGUAAGUGGAGUAGGUCCUCGAGUGAAGGGAACCGUUCUGAUGCCAAUUGUUUUUGAAACCAGGAGACUCCGUCACGUUUAGAGGCUGAGGGGAAGAGCUGCGUUCCUGUGUGUUUGUGUGUCAGUGUUCAGUGGGGCAGGUGGAGGAGGGAGUGAGGAGGAGCCCAGAUAAGAUUUGCUUUCACCAGGAGGCAGGACACUUCAGUCUCUGCUGACAGUUGUCAACGGAGAUAAAGCUGUCAGUUUGGGUAGGGCAGGAAGUUGUGGCAGUCCUACCCCUUGGCCUUCCUUUUCCCAAAGUGGAAGGUAAGGUCAUACCACUUUGUGCCUCUGUGCCUGGUAAGUUUCUACUCCUUCCUUUAAAAAUCAGCUGUAGGGGCACCUGAGUGGCUCAGUUGUUUAAGCCUCAGACUCUUCAUUUGGGCUCAGGUCGUGAUCUCACGGUUGGUGGGUUCCAGCUUUGCUUUGAGCUUUGCCCUAACAGCACAGAGCCUGCUUGGGGAUUCUCUGUCUCCCUUUCUCUCUGCCCUCCCCUACUCAAGCAUGUGCCCGUGUGGUCUUUCUCUCAAAUCAAUAAAAACUUAGGAAAAAAAGCAAAAAUAAAAACGAGGUGUAGAUCUCUGCCUUUGCAACCCCUUUCCUGACCCCUUCCUUCUAGAAUCACCUUGGUGGGGUGGGGGGAUGGGGGAAGGAAGGGGGCUAGUUAAGCUUUCAGAGUCCCUGAACACUCUAAGACUUAAAGUUAGAAUUUCUGAGCGGUGGCACGCAGGAUCUACAUUUGAAAGAACAGCCAUGGGGAAUUCAGGUGGCGCAAUAAAGUUGGAGAACCACCCCACUAAGUGUUCCCAAUUCAUUUUACAACCCUCCAUUAUUGAAAUUAAACUAUUCCCUCCCCCACCGUGUUCCUCUUGGGAGGGAGUGUCUCUUCAUUUCUGGGCUUUCAAGUACAGCCCUGCACUAUGUAGGCUGGGAGAGUGGCCUUGGGUUCUUAUUUGUGAAAUGAAUGAAAUGUCCAGAGCUGGAGCCCUGGUGUUUCGACCCCCCUGACCCACAACUUCCCUACCCCAUCAUAGGUUAUCUCCAUAGGUCUCUGAAUUCUUAAUGAAAGCAUUUCCUGCUUGGCUAUGCCUGAACAUCAUAUGCAAACUUAACCUCACACACCCACAUGGAGAGAUCCUGGGAAGAAUGGGGCUUAUGGAGGAUUGAUUGCUCUAAGGAAAGUCAAAGUGUAGGCCGCAGCAGGGGUGCCAGAGCACCUGGCUCCAGGGGUCCCAAGCUGGGUUUGGCCACUCCCCGCUGAUAAAAUCCAAAGGCAGAGAGAUGAGUGGUGGAGAAACAAGAAAGGGAUUUUAUUUCAGUGAGGCCAACACCAGGAAGACGGUGGACUAGCUUCUCAAAGACUGUUUCCAAAGUGCUGAAAAUACUUCCAGGUUAUGUAAGGAGAAUGUGGGACAAAGGUUGGUCAAUACAGGCAGGUGGGCAGUGAAGGUCAAGUCGUCAUUGUCUUGGGGUCAAUCCCAGGCGGGUGUUGCUGGCUCAGGGCCGUCUUGAUUGCUUGAGGGGGUAGUUUUGUUCCCAUCAGGGGAUGCUUUGCCCUCAGGGUCUUUUGCCUAAGUUAAGAGACAAGCUGGAAAGAACAACUUAAUCAGUUAGAAAGUUUGAGGUCAAAACGAGGUUAAGUCCUCCUUCAAACUUGAGGUGCUCUGAAGUCAAGGGAGUAGAAGGGCACCUGGCUGGCUCAGUCGGUAGAUUGUGCAACUCUUGAUCUCAGGGUUGUGAGUUCAAGCCCCACAUUCGGUGUAGAGAUUACUCAAAAGUAAAAUCUUAACAACAACAACAACAUGAAGUUAAGUGAGUGGAAUCAACACGAAUUCAGAUGCACAAGACCUCUACAGCUGGUGUCUGUUCUGAGUGUCACCCAAGUCUCCCCCCCCAAACCUAUCAAGGAGUUAAAACAUACUCUGGAAAAGAACCCUGGACUGUAACAGUUAAGGUGGAUGCUCGGGAGAUAAUGAGUCCUAACAGAAGGCUUGUGUGUGGCUUGUCUGGAGAAAUUAUAGGGUAUCUCCCACACUACCCAAGGAUAAAGAUGCUCUGAUACUAUUGGCUAGUGCUGUUCGUUUAGAGAGAACUAGUCCAAAAGAAUGGCAGUUCAUCUUAGAAGAAAUCAUUAUAUCUCCUAAGAACAGCAAAUCCCCUUUCUUUAAUCAGAGACUUUACUGACCACCUCCCAUGGGUCACGGGCCUUUACUAGCUGCUGGAGAUGUGACCGUAGGCUAACAGGCACAGUACUUGCUCUUAAGGAGUCAGUAUUGUUGCCACCCAGUCACUCAAAUCCCAGUCUGUCAUUUGGUAUGCUUUGUGGAUUUGCCUGGCAAGGCAUAGGACUCUGAGCAAGUGACCAGAGCCAAUUAUUUGGCCAGCAAGCCCUCCUGUUCGCACACUGUUAACAUUCCAGUUUUGAAUCACCUGUGACUUGGGUGAAAGUGAAACAUUUCCCAGAGUGCGGUGUCCUCUGGAUAAAUGCCUGUAAACCUGAGUCCGCUGGUGAGCUUGAUAUAACAGCCCUGCCCUGGGAAGGCCAGCAGCGGGCAGUGGCCAGCCUCCAGCGGCUCUCCAUUGCUGCACUGCCUUGGCUCCUCCCACCAGCCCCACGUCUGGAUCCCUUGCUUCCUGAAACAGGGCCUUCUAUUACUCUAAUUUUGCAUUUCUUGCAGGUGUCCUUGCCUGCCCUGAUGGCCCACUGAGAGGUUGCUGAGGGGAUUCUUGGAGCAUCGAAUUCCAAAGAGCUUGAGUCAGAAGAAGCUUUGCAGCCCAGGGCUGACUUUGAAGGAAGAGGGAGCAGGGGCGGCUGAUGGUAAGUGGAGGAGAGUGGACAUAAUGGGAACAGACGUGGGAUCGGCUACACUUGUGACUUUGAGGACGGUCCCCAGCUUCUUAGCUCCCCUGAGAGAAACCAUGAAAGCUGAAACCAGGAUCCCAGGAUCCUUAGCUAGUAAUUCCUAAAAGCAGCAUUUAAGAGAUCUGGCUCUGGAAAACAUUCACUCAAGGGUAGGUCCACAUUUGGGUGAAUGAGACCUACAUAUUUCUGAGGGGCAACACUUAAGCAAGAAAUAUAAAAUUAGACAGGGUAGGAGAAUACCCUGUUUCAGGAAGCAAGGGAUCCAGAAGCUUUAGCCUCAGUAAUUUCACAGUAACCCAUCUUUGCAUUCAUGCUAGAGGGUAAAAGUAUUGGGUGUCUCUGAUCCCAGAGGAUGCUUAAAGGAAAGAAGGAGGCAGGGAUGAGAGCAACUUUAAAGUUUUACCUCCUUGUUAUUAAUCACAUUUUCUCUUCAUCCCCCACACCCAGUUACAGGUCUAAAUGUUGGGCGAAGCUAUUCAUGGACAGGUAUCAUUUAAAAGAUUUUUUAAUUUGUUUUUAAUGUUUACUUUUGAGAGAGAGAGAGAAUGCACAAUCAGGGGAGGGGCAGUGAGAGAGGGAAAUAGGAUAUGAAGCAGGCCCUGCGCUGACAGCAGAGAGUCUGAUGUGGGGCUUGAACCCAUGAACUGUGAGAUCAUGACAAGAGCUGAAGUCGCAUGCUUAACCGACUGAGCCACUCAGGUUCCCCUGUCAUUCAUCUUGAAUCCCCAGUACUUCACACAUAGCACAAGCAAAGUAUUUGUUGAAGGAAUGAGUGGGUGAAUGAAUGAAAGAAUGAGUGAAUGAAUGAGUGAAUUCUCCCAGGUCCUAAGAAUUGAGAGUCCUGUAUAUUCCUCUCUUUCUUUCUUCCUUCUUUUUAUUUAUUUAUUUAUUUAUUUAUUUAUUUAUUUAUUUAGAGAGCGCGCGAGCAUGUGCACACCUGAGCCGGGGGAAAGGCAGAGAGAGAGAGGGAGAGAAGGAGAAUCCCAAGCAGGCUCUGCACUGCCAGCAUGGACCCGGAUGCAGGGCUCAAACCCAUGAACUGUGUGAGUUCAUGACCUGAUCUGAAAUCAAAGACUUGGACGCUCAACCGACUGAGCCAUCCAGGUGCCCUUGUCCAAUUAUUACUUUAGGUCAAAGGUGGGCAAACUGCAACCCAUGGGCCAAAUUGGCCCCACCACCUGUUUUGAAAUUAAAGUUUAAUGGGACACACUUUUUAUUUUUUUUUAAUGUUUAUUUUUUUUGAGAGAGAGACAGUGUGAUCAGGGAGGGGCAGAGAGAGAGGGGGGCACAGAAUCUGAAGCAGGCUCCAGGCUCUGAGCUGUCAGCACAGAACCAACACGGGACUCGAACUCACGAACCAUGAGAUCAUGACCUGAGCCGAAGUUGGGUGCUUAACAGACUGAGCCACCCAGGUGCCCCGGGACACAUGCUUUUAUUAUAUGUUGUCUAUAACUGCUUUUGUGCUACAAGGGCAGAAUUGAGUAGCUGUGACAGAGACCAUAUGGCAAACAAAGGCUAAAAUAUUUACCAUCGGACCUUUUACUGAAAAAGUUUGUCUCUGAUUUAGGUCUUCAUUACACCCAACGUGUAAUAAUCACCUCCUAACUGAUCUCUUAGCCUCUGCUCUCUCUAGAGGUUUUUCUAAAAUAUAAAUCCAGUAAGGUUGUACUCCCCCAAAACCCUUUGUUGGCUCCUCAUUUUCUGCAACUCCGUAAUGAAGUUUUUAGGAUUUGUCAUGAUCUAGCCCCAAUCUUCUGCAGCCUCUUCUUCCUCUCCUCUCUGUCUUGUACAUCAGCCACAGCAGACCAUGGAACAGGUCAGUGGCUCCCAUCCCUUCUCUGGAAUGUCCUCUUGUCUGUUCUCUACUGGCUUCUGUGUGAAGUCUGUCCUGAUCUCCUUCCCCUAUACUCCUAUAAAUCACAAUAAGGUAAAUUGUACUGCAAUAUCAAGAAACCCCAAAUUUUAGUGACUUAAAACUACAAAUCAGUUGAACAAGAAUAAGGUAUACACAGGUGCCCCACUUCCAGAGAGCUCGACAAGCACGUAUGAUGUUUUUGUUCCUCCCAAGAAUGGGAAAAAAACAGCCUAGUCACCCCCCCCCCCUUUUUGUAAUAUGCAUGCAAUGACUACCUUAUUAACAGAUAUUUGUCAUUUUGUCUGAAACUUGUCAUUUUGGUGCUUGUAGAGGUUGUGGUUGAUAAACAAUUAUAAAAAGAGAACUUCAUUUAAGGAAGAAAGAAUGGAAAGUCUGAGAAGAUGAACCAUAACUAAAGGGUCAUGCUUGGAGCUGCUUUUGGCCACAGUAAGAGCUCAGUAAAUGCUGGCUCACAGCUUGCCCACUGCUACUUUCCAUAAGUCCACUUAUUAAGCCAGUCCCCCAGGCAGGGAGUGUGGAAGCAGUGAGGAGAGAAGGAGGACCCAGCCUCUGUCUGAACUGGAGUGAUGCCUUCAUUGGUGCCUUCUUCCCUGCGGGGUAUAAAACCAUGUUUGAUUUGCUCCAAGUGUCACAGGAAGUUUCUCCAGGACUGCCUCCUCUCUCUAUUCUGAAUGCACUUGCUCUAUCCUUGUCCCACCUCCUGAUAUUUGGUUUCUGCCCAGCCCCUUCAGACGGGCUCUCGGGAGAGUAUCAGCACCUGUUAUGCAGCCCAUCUACCCACCUUCAUUCCGGGGAGCACGUUGGGAGCAGACUCCGCUCUGCUAGCCCUGGGCUGAUCCCUGACCUCCUGUGUUGCCAUUUCCACAUCUUUGCCUUAUACUCUGGCUCUGGGACACCCACUAAUCCUACGUGUUUCUGAAAUCAUUGUUUGCCCUACCUUGGCAAGCGAGGAUUGCUUGUCAAGCCAUCCUUGGCUUGGCCGUUUGUUUGGGGUCCUACUGUUGUGUCUUGCUCUCUUCCUUGCCCUCCCUGUUGACUGAUCGACUCUGAGCACCACCUGGAGCACUGGAUCCUGCCCUUGUUCUUCCACGUAUUGCCCUCUCAGAACCCACUGGAAAACCAGGCUUGGAAAUCCAUACCAGCAUCAUCCCUGAACUCCACAGCCAUCCUGUGCCUUACCCCACACACACCUCUGGCCCUAAGAACUCUUUUUUUAAGUUUAUUUGUUUUUGAGAGAAAGAGAACAUGAGCAGGGGAGGGGCAGAGAGAGACGGAGAGAGGGAAUCCCAAGCAGGCUCCACACUAUCAUUGUGGGGCCCAAUGCAGGGCUUGAACCCAUGAACCUUGAGAUCAUGACCUGAGUUGAAAUCAAGAGUUUGAUGCUUAACCAACUGAACCACCCAGGUACCCCCCAAGAACUCUCGAUGUAGACCUGAUUAAAUUUAUCAUACCGUACUGGGAUUAGGUGUUGUAGCACCAGCCUCUCAGUGGGGUGCUGAACACUGUCCCCUUUUGGGAACCUACCUCCCACUUUGACUUCUUUUCCAAUCCCAGUCUGCAGCCUGGGUCCUGAUUUUGAGAUUGACCUUGCUCCUCCAUUGCUGGACACUGUCCCAGGCUAUCCUCUACCAGGCUUCUGAGUCUUCUUUUGCUUCUUUUGAACCUGGAGCCCUGUGCUCUCUCACACCACUGCUGCCCACCAUCCCCAUGUUGGGGUCAGCUCUUCAGAACUCUUAUGGGGAAACCUCAAGGAUCACUGGUCUACAAGUAUUAAGAGUGGCUUCUCCCCACCCAUAGAGUUUACUUACUUAUAUAAAGCACUCAGUUUAGUGUCUGGCCUAGAAUAAGACUUUCUAAGUGUUAUUUGUUGUUGUUAUCACCCUCUAAUUAAAGCAGGCAAGGCUUGUUCCUCAAAGAGGAAGGCAUACGUAACAGGUAAAAAUAAUAAGCCAUACUUUCGUUUUGAAGUUUUUUUUUUUUAAUGUUUAUUUAUUUUUAAGAGAGAGAGAGUGCACAUGAGCGGGGGAGGAGGCAGAGAGAGAGGGGACAGAGGAUCUUCAAAGCAGGCUCUGUGCUGACAGCAGAGAGCCGGACUUGGGCUCAAACUCACGAACCACGAGAUCAUGCCCUUAAUCGAAGUCAGAUGCUCAACCAACUGAGCCACCCAGGUGCCCCAGUAAGCCAUACUUUAAAGGUUAAUGGACACCCCGGCCCCUGCCAUGUUGCCUCAAACCAGGCGCCCAGUAACCAGCACGUAGGACUUACCUUGACCUUUUGUGAGCUAGGACUCCCUCUUGAUCUAUUCCUGUGGCUGUACUCUCAGUUUGUGACCCAAUUAUCCCUUUCAUCCAAUCUCGUGCCCCUAUGAAGUCACUUUUCCUACUCUUUACUACAAGUGACCCUUCACCUGAACGAAGACUGAGGGUUGCUAAUUGUCCUUUCCCUAAUAACUUAGCGAAGUGUGAAGAGCUGGUAACUUAGACAAUGUCCAGAACCUACUGGCUUCUUUCACUCUGAGUGAACUGUGGGCACUGGGCAUCUCUUAGGUCAGGAAUUAGAUUCCAGUGUACAUGGGCUUUGAAACAGGAAAAUACAGGAGUGGGUUUCGGGUUGUCAGGAGCUGUACAGGUGUUGAUCACAAAUUCCAGGAACAGGGGGCUUCUGCCAUCAAGGCUAUGUGGUCACUGGGGAAAGUCAGGUGGGAUGUCAAUUGUGAAUAGUGAAAAAGGAAGAGGAGGUUCACCAAAAGCAAGAAGGAAUCUGAAAGAAAAAAUAUGUGGCUUCCUCAGGUCCUGGUCCUGUGCCUGGUCCACUAAGAAUAAUGUAUGAAAAACAGUGGGUGCCUGGGUGGCUCAGUUGGUUGAACACCCAACUCUGGAUUUCAGCUCAUGUCCUGAUCUCAUGGUUCCUGGGAUCAAGCCCUGUUGGGCUCGCACUGACAGCACAGAGCCUGCUUGGAUUCUCUCUCUCUCUCUCUCUCUCUCUCUCUCUGUCUCUGUCUCUCUCUGUCCCUUCCCUGCUCACACUCCCUCUCUCUCUCAAAAUAAAUCCAUAAAUGUAAAAAAAAAAAAAAGAAAAGAAAAGAAAAAAGAAAGAAUGAAUGAAUGGAUUCAAGGAGGGAAGGAAAGAGACGAAAAAUUAAAAGACACUAUCAAGCCAGGGGUGCCUGGGUGGCUCAGUCAGUUAAGCCUCCGACUUCUGUUCAGGUCAUGAUCUCAUGGUUCGUGGGUUCGAGCCUCACAUUGGGCUCUGCUGACAGCUUGGAGCCUGGAGCUUGCUUCAGAUUCUGUGUCUCCCUGUCUCUCUGCCCCUCCCCUGCUUGCUCUCUCUCUCUGUCUCUCUCAAAAAUAAAUAAGCAUUAAAAAAUUUUUUUUAAUAAAUUAAAUAAAUAAAUAAAUAAAUAAAUAAAUAAAUAAAAACACUAUCAAACCAAUAAAAUAAAUCAGUCAAGAGCAAGAUUUGGCUUUCAGUGACCUGGGACCUUCCUUCCCCACCUCCUACCUUCCCUCCCUCUCUUCUCUCUUUCUUCCCAUCCAGUGGUGCUGACUCUUGUCCCCAUGAGGGUGGCAGAAGACACUAUGUGCAGAAAGAAAAUCGGCUAGGGUUACCUGGGCGGCUCACUGGGUUAAGUGUCUGAUUCUUGGUUUUGGCUCAGGUCAUGAUCUCAUGGUUCGGUGAGUUCGAGCCCCACACUGGGUUCUCUGCUCUCAGCGAGAAGCUUGCUUUGGAUCCUGUGUCUCUCUCUCUCUGCCCCUCCCCCUCUCACACUCUGUCUCUGUCUCUCUCUCUCAAAAAUAAAUAACAUUAAAAAAGAAAGAAAACCAGCGAGCUUGGUCUGAAGGGGGGUGCGGGGCCUGCAAGACCUAUGGGAGAACACAGUCUGAAGCAGUCCCCUUAGCAACAGGGCCGAGCAGAAUGCUUGGUUUCAGAAAGGAACUAGCAAGAUUAGCUGGAAUGAGGGUUUAGGUGAGGUGCACCAAAAUGAAGCAAAUGUUCUCUCUUGUACAGAGACAGCUUUGGGAUGAAAUGUUAAGGCAAAGCACUGAUAAAUACGGUUCACUGGUAUAACAGGGUGUAACUGUUAAGAGAAUUUUAUCCGCAUAUCAUAAAAUUCACCCUUCUACAGGGUGAAUCCAGCAGUUUUCAGUAUAUUCACAGAGUUGUGUAACCAUCCCCAUUAUCUGAUCCUAGAACAUUUCAUCACCCUGUAUCUAUUAGCAGUAACUUCUCAUUUUUCCCUCCCCUAGCCCCUGGCCACCAAUUUACUUUCAGCCUCUACAUUUGCCUAUUCUGGACAUUUUAUAAAAACACAAUCCUACAGGGGCACCUAGCUGGUUCAGUCGGAAGAGCAUGCAAAUCCUGAUCUUGGGGUUGUGAGUUCAAGCCCCACAUUGGGUGUAGAGAUUACUAAAAAAUAAAUAAAUAAAACUUUAAAAAGUGGAAUCACACAUUCCGUGUGUGGCCUUUUGUGUCUGUUAUUUCACUUAGCAUGAUGUUUUCAAGGCUUACCCAUUUCUUUUCAGGUUUAUUUAUUCACUUUGAGAGAGAGAGAGAGAGACAGUGCAAGUGGGGAGGGGCAGAGAGAGAGGAAGAGAGAAUCCCAAGCAGGCUAUGCACCAUCAGCACAAACUGCUACGUGGGGUUCGAGUCCACAAACUGGGAGAUCAUGACUUAGGCCGAAGUCAAAUGCUGAACUGACUGAGCCACCCAGGCACCCCAAGGCUUACCCACAUUAUAGCAUGUAUCAGUGCUUCAUUCCUUUUUAUGGCUAAAUAAUAUUCCAUUUUAUGGAUAUGCCACCUUUUGUUUAUCCCCCUUCAUCAUUUGAAGGGCAUUUGUGUUAUUUUCACUUUUUGGCUAUUUGAAUUAAUGCUAUUAUGAACAUUUGUGUCCGUUUUCUGUGUGGACAUGUUUUCCUUCCUUUUGAGUACACACGUAGGAGUAGAGCUGCUGGGUCAUAUGGAAGGUAACUCUAUGUUUAUCUUUUUAGGGAACUGCUCAACUGUUUCCACAGUGGCUGCACUAUUUUACCUCCCUGCCAUAAAUGUCUGAGGGCUCCAGUGUCCACACACACACAUCCUUGCCAACACUGAUUAUUCUCCAUCUUUUUUUAUUUUUUUAUUUUUUUAUGUUUAUUUUUGAGAAAGAGAGAGAACAAUUGGGGGGGGGUGGUAGAGAGAGAGGGAGACACAGAAUCCGAAGCAGGCUCCAGGCUCUGAGCUGUCAGCAUAGAGCCCGACGUGGGGCUCGAACCCACACACCAUGAGCUCAUGACCUGAGCUGACGUCAGACGCUCAACCGACUGAGCCACCCAGGUGCCCCUGUCCACCUUUUUAUUGUAGCCAUCCUACUGGGUGUAAAGCUAUACCUCAUUGCAGCUUUGAUUUGUACUUUUCUACUAAUGAUGUUGAGCAUCUUUUCAUAGGUUUGUUGGCCAUUUGUAUAUCUUCUUUGGAAAAUUAUCUAAAACACUAUGUGAUUUUAACCGUAUACACACAUAACCAAAUUCCCCGGUACAGUCUGAGACUGUGUACGAGUUCUGAUAAUUGCUUAUUCAAGUUGCCAUCAGUGGUUAGAAUGAAGAGGAAUAUUCCUGAGGCUUCCUCAAAGGAAGAGGAAUUCUGUGUGGGUUGAUGUUUUUCCUCAAAGGGCUUUUCUUGGCUGUCAGGUGGCAUAUUACUGUGAGGAUUAAAUUGAGUAUUAAAUAUGGGCAGCAGGAUAUUCAGUGGCUCAGUUCAGCAGUACUGGUUAUUUAAGGUCUGCAUCUGUUCCGAUUGGCUGAUGCCCAUGCCUUGAUGUUUUUUUAACGUUUGGAAUACCAUGCCUACAUAUUGAGUGCCCAGCUCGUGUGUCUGGCAAGCAGUUGGUAAUUGUUAAUUUCUUUCCUUCCCUUCUUUUGUUGAGCUCCUUUAUGUCCUGCCAUCAUCAAAAGUAGGCCGCUGAUUGCUGGUAUGUAUAUUUUAUUUUCACCUCACCCUGGACCCAAGAGUGUUUUUUGAUGCUCUUUGGUGGCUGUCCUCGUUCUUUAUCAUGAAGAUCAUAUAUCUCUGUGUGGCUAUUUACUUCCAGGACUUUGGCAACUGCUCCUAAUCCUGGAGUCCCCUCUUCAGACACCUGGUCUGUUAACCUGAAGACCCUUUUCAUUUUAUGUGUGUAUGCAUGUUUGUAUGUCUGUAUAUAUUAGGCUCCACACCCAACCUGGGGCUUGAACUCAUGACUCUGAGAUCAAGGGUCACAUGCUUUACUGACUGGGCCAGGAAGGUACCCCCUGAAGACCCUUUUUAAAGGUCAUCUUUUUGUGUGGACAUAUUGGGUUCACAUUUGGUCGUGUUCUCACUCACUGAUACCAACAGUGGUAAUCAACUGGUGUAAUGCUGACCAAAAAAAUGUGUCAGUUGUGGAAGUGUUUGUAAUACUGAGCAGAGGGAAACAAUUUAAAUUUUAUUAAUAUGGGAUUGCUAAAGAAAGCCUGGUACAGCCAUAGAUUGCAGGGGUUGGCACACUUUUUCUGUAAAGGACCAGAUGGUAACGGUUUAGGCUUUGUGGGCAACAGAAUCUCUGAUGAAACCAUUCAACUCAGCUGUCUUAGUGCAAAAGCAGCCAUAGACAAUAUGUAAAUAAGUGGGCGUGGCUGCGUUCCAGUAAAAUUUCAUUUAGGUGUUGGGCCAUCUUUGAUCUGCAGACCAUGGUUUGCUGACCUCUGACAUAACGAACUCCUUCCAUGUGGCUGUUAAAGGAUCUAAUAGAAUUAUGUGUAUUGACAAAGAUGUCCAUCAAGUUUAAAUAUUUAUAUAUAUAUGUAUGUAUAUUUUUAGGAAGAAGGAGAGCAGAAUUACACACACACUUGUACAGGCCCGAAAAAGAGCCUUAAAAGACACACACCCACCUGUUAACAGUAACACACAGAGUGAUUAGGAUUGAGGAAGUGGGGAGUUUGGGGCAGACGGGUACUUUUCCUUACUUGACUGUUGUACACGGAAAGAGCCUUGGUUUUGUAAUUUAAAAAAAUUUGGGGCGCCUGGGUGGCUCAGUUGAUUAAGCAUCUGGCUCUCGAUUUCGGCACAAGUGAUGAUCUUGUGGUUCCUGAGAUGGAGUUCUGCAUCCGAUUCUGCACUGACAGUACAGAGCCUGCUUAGGAUUGUCUGUCUCCUCUCUCUGCACCUCCCCCUGCUUGUGCUCUCUCUCAAAAUAAACAAACAAACAAAUCAUAAAAUUCAAUUGAGAUUUUUUAGAUUCAAAUGAGUUUUACUGGUCUUAUUCAUAAGGUGCAUAACAUGUAUCCUACAUAAAAUGUAACAAGUUCACAAUCAUAAUGGCCACACAAUCAGCAAUACACUGCGUCUGAGCUGCAGAAUCUUAGGGUUAUAAGUGGGAGUCUAGAUGGAUCCAUGGACAAAGGGGAGGCAGAUUUGGUUGAGAUGCCAGCUCAGAGCCUUGGUUGGGAAGCAUGAGGCUGAAUCUGGAGCCGGGUCUGAGGCAGAGUUGGGGACAGAUGCAUCAGCCUCAACGCAGGCCUUCCCUGGUCAACAAUCCCCUGCCAUCGGGCUCCUUCUAGAUGUGGAGGGUGUCAGGAAUGUUACAGGUCCUUAGAUGCACUUUUGCGUGAGCCAAGAGCUGAAGGUGGUGGAUGGAGGGUGUCUGUACCCUGGCAGGUGAAACGACGCAGACUAGUAAAUAGGUGAAGUGUCCGGCUAUGGAAUGGGUGCGCCACAGGGGGGAGUGCAAGUGGGAGGGGCUCUUUGUGGGAUAGGUCACAUCUGAGUCACUCUGAAGUAUGAAUAGGAAUUUGCCACAUCAGCCAAGGCAAGACAGGAAAUUCCAGGCAGACUGAAGAGCAGAGAUGAAGGUUCAGAGAUGGGAAAUACUGUCAAAGUCAUCCUAAGAAGUUUAUGAACAGAGAGGCUGAGAGACCGCGGGUCAGGAAGGGGAACCAGCAGAGGGUUGCAGGCAAGGGAGGCAGGAAGUCACAUCUGAGCUUUAGAAGAUUUUCUGGUGGCCACGGGGAGUGGGGGAAGAGCCAUCAAUCAUCUCUUGUCCAGGCGGGAAGUGACAUGAGCGUGGAUUCAGCUGAUGAGUGCAUUUAGACCAUGUUGCCCUCACCUCUGGGCCAUUCUCUAAGCUGUCCUUCUGCUUGCCAUGUUCCCUCCCCUCCUCUUGGCAUGGCCAGUUCUCCUUCAGUCUUUAAAUUUUUUAAAACUCAGUCAUUACCUCCACCAAGAAAAGUUCACUGACAUUUUAGAUCCUAACACUCCCAGCUGGGUUAAAGACCUCAACUCAGGGCUCUAUGAGGCUCUGUAUAUCCCUAUGUCUCCAUGUGAAUCCCGUUGCUUUAUGACUGUAUUUUGAUUUCUGACUUACCACUAGACUGUGAUUUUCUUAGGGUAGAGGCCAGGUUUCAUUAAUCUUUAGAUCGUGAUCUCACGGUUCAUGAGUUCGAGUCCUGCAUCGGGUGAACUCGAGCCCCACUUCGGGUAAGCCCUCUCUUGGCACAGAGAAAGGGAUUAGUAAAUACCUGUGACUGAAUAGAUAAAAGGAUGAAUGAAAGGUGAAGCGGGGAGAUGAGAGAUGCUGGGGAAGCUGAGUUAGGUUAACAGGUUGUUUUAUUUGAGGCAGAUUUGCCAGCAACUUAUUUAACACAGGUUCACUGUGAGAAUUUCACAAGCCAGUGGCAUAAAAACCAAUUAUAGAUUAAUCGCACUAUUGUUCCAGGCAAGGGAGGAUGAAAAGAAUAAAGUCCAAAUUUAGUUCAGGUAUACCUUUAUAGGAGAGAUGACUUAGCCAACCAGAGAGCUGACAUCCGGGUACCAGUAUGGAAGUCAGAGUCCCCUGUUGCUAGAGCUCGUUUCUAGGGAAUGCUGGUGUAGGUGUUGGGCAAGAGGUAAAGGAGUCACCUUUAUGCCCCAAGGUCUUUAGAGAGCUAUUUAGAUCAGCAAAGAGUUGCUUUGGCCAGUCUAAACACUGGGAUGGUCCUCACAAAUGCACAGUAUUUAUAGUCUAAACGUCCCGUUGACAUAGUUGCUUCUUUGUAUGUUUUUACUUGAUAAGCCCCCAGGGGUGCCCCACAAGAGCUGACCUACUGAGUGCUUAUCAGUGACAACAGAUGAGAUGGUGACCUCCUGACACAGCUUACUUUAUUCUUCUAUCAAAAUGGCUUUAUUCUUAAAAACAACCUCAGUUUUGUCAUAAUAAAACCAAUACAGGGUACCUGGGUAGCUCAGUGGGUUAAGCAUCUGACCUCCGCUCAGGUCAUGACCUCAUGGUUCGUGAGUUUGAGUCCUGCAUUGGGUGAGCUCAAGCCCCACUUCGGGUAAGCCCCGCUUCUCUCUCUCUUCCCCUUGUGAGAUUCUCUCUCCCUUUCUCUCUCUCUCUCUGCUCCUUACUCACUUUGGCCCCCUCUCAAAAAAUAAAAUAAAUAAAAUAAAAUAAAAUAAAAUAAAAUAAAAUAAAAUAAUAAAAUGAAAUGAAAUACCCAAUACACAACACUUGUCAAGUGAUUGAGCAGGGCUAGUGGGAAGGUGGGCAGUGAGAGGGGUUUUCUGGUUUGGGAGUCAGGGAGGUCUGAACUGCUUUUACUCACAAUACUUCUGACACCCAGUGUUUGUGUUUUUCCUCUCAGUAACCACUUCAAUUCAAUUUUGAUACUCUCUACCUGGAGUUAGAGAGGCAGUAAGGAGGCUGGAUCCCACAAGAUGCUCCCACAUCAGAUGCCAACUCCAAGUCCGGGUUCCCAACGGUGCCUGACCAACUGGCUUUAAAUUGGUGGUUUCCACAACCCCCUGUUCAGGUUCAGUAAUUUGCUGGAAUGGCUCACAGAACUCAGGGAAACACUUUACUUAGAUUUAUCAGUUUAUUAUAAAGGAUACAACUCAGGAGCAGCCAGAUGGAAGAGGGGCAUAGGGCAAGGUUUUAGGGGGUCGGGUGGGGUGGCAUGGAGCUUCUCUGCCCUCUCUGGGUGCUCACUCUCUGAGUACUUCAAUGUGCUCACCAACCCAGAACAUUUCCAAACCCCAUCCUGAAGCAUUCUAGGAACUCCCAGCCCCUAGUCAGUUCAUCAGCAGACAAAAGACACACAUUACUUUAGAGAUUCCAACGGUUCUAGCCGCUGUGUACCAGGAAUCCAAGACAAAAACCAAAUAUAUCUUUAUCCCAGGAAGUGAUACUGGCAUAAACCAAGGCAGGGGAUAGGGGAAGAAAAACAGGUACGAGAAGGAAGAUUGUGCAGUUAUCUAUUGUAUAGUGACACAGAACAACAAUGAUCAUUUAUUUUGUAAGUUUAUUUUAUAUAUUUUGAGUGAGAGAGAGAGAAAGAGAGAGAGCAAGAGCAGGGGAGGGGCAGAGAGAGAGAGGGAGGGAGAGAGAGUCCCAAGCAGGCUUCCCACUGCUGGCACAGAGCCUAACUCAGGGCUCAAACUCACAAACUGUUAGAUAAUGACCUGAGCUGAAAUCAAGACUCGGACACUCAACUGACAGCCACCCAGGCACCCCAAUAACAAUCAUUUAUGAUUAUGUUUCGCCGUGGCAGGGGUUGAGUGACCACCCCCCAGUCCUACUCCUGGGCCAGGCUAGCAGGCCCUAGAUGUAGGCAUGGCUUUUGUCAGGCCUGUUCUGUGUCUUCUACAUCUGUUGUGUCUCAGUGUAGUGUAGAAUGCCCCUUACUGGCUUUCCUUAGCGUCUCCGUACCACCCACGUAUUCCAGGAAUCCUUUCUCUUAAUCUUUGCAAGAGGCCUCUUUUAAAUGCCCAGACCCCAGAUGCUCAGGGCUUUGGCAGCCUUGUGAAAAAACGUCUCUCAUGUGAUCCAUUCUCUAUACUUAGAGGGGCCACAUUUUAGGAAUCUUUCUUGCAUAUAACUGGAAGCCUGGCAGGCAUUGGUUUAAGCAAAAAUGGGAAUUUAUUGGCUCACAUAAGUGAAAAUUCCAGGGGCUGGAUCUAACGUUAGCCAUGGCUGGAUAUAAAUGUCAGGACCUUGAUUCAUUCAUGAUUUAGUUUUGCUUCCUGGCUCUAGGCUGUAUUCUCAGCAAGCUCUCCCUGUGGGAUGGCAAAAAGUGGCUGUAGCAGCUCCUGCCCAUUCCUCUCUAGCUAAGCCCAGCCAGAAGGAGCAAGCCUUUAUCUAUAGAGGGGCCUGCAACAGCCCGAGAGUCAUUCUAAUGAGGCCAGUAUGGUUGUUUGCUAGCUCCUCAACUCAUGUUUGAGGUCAGGGGCCAGCAGCAAUGUCUUCUGCUGGAUAAGGAGGGAUGGGUCCUAGGGAGUAGCGGAAACAAUAAAUGUUCACUAUGGGUAGGGGGGACAACACUCUGAAAUCCCACCAGGGUGGAGCUUAGACUGCACAGGCCACAGUGCCUGGCAUUUUGCCGCUCUGGAAAUACCCCCGCAUUUCAUGAAAAUGUGGUGCCACAAAGCCACCACCUGGGACUCUGGCCUUAUGGUCAGUGUGGGCCCAAAGGAUGGGGGUGCCUGCUGGCUGAGUCAAGAUACUCUGGAGACCUGCAAGGCACAGGCUCUUUUCAUUUUCAAUAUUUAAUUGCUAAUCUGUCUAGGGAAAUACAGGCAAAAGGGCCACUACCCNNNNNNNNNNNNNNNNNNNNNNNNNNNNNNNNNNNNNNNNNNNNNCAUACCCCCAGAAAUAUUGCAGGAAAUCAAGUCUUUUAAGGUUGUUAUAGCCGUAGUACCUAUUCUGUAGUUUCCAAUUCUUUUUCCUAGAUGGAACCUAGGAACCCAAUUUAUUAAUUUGUUCACUCAUCUGCUAAGCAUUUAUUGAUCACCUACUCUGGGCCAGACGUCAGAGGUACAAGGGUGUAUAAGGCCCAGCCUUCACUCUUGAGGCUCACAGGACAGAGCAGGGGAGAGAGACUGAAAAAAUGACCAUCCUGAACUUGAUGAUUCUGUAUAAUAAAGGAAUAGAGGAAGAGCUUUGGAAGGAAGGCACAACCCUUCCUUGGGGGCCUGGAACCCACAGCCCUGGGGUCCAUUCACCUGUGCAGUUUCUCAAAACAGUGGGGUUGACAUCGCCUCACUUCAUGCCUGGUGCACCGGCCUGUAUUGCAAACGGGAGGGUAAAGUUGGCAAAAACUAGCAAAAUAUUCCCAGCAUUUUCUCUUCUGGGAACAUACCUUUCCGAGCACACGUAGAAAAUUAAACACAUACGAGGUUUUUCACUGCAGCGCUGUUGGUAGUUGCAAAGGCUGGAAAUAACCUUGAGGCUCAACAUUAAUAAAAAAAAGAUGGUAUAACCACACAAAGGAAUACUAUACAAACUAGAAAAUCAACUCAGUCUGUGAGGAUCUGGAACAGUCUCUGAGGCAUACUGAGAAGUGAAAAAGCCAAGUGUCUGAACUGUGUUCUAACGUGCUGCCUUUUUUACAAAAAAAAAAAAAAAAGAGGAAAAUGAUAUAUUUUGCUUGUACAUAUAUAAACUAGCUCUGGAAGGAAACAAAAGAAACUUAUAUUUUCUUUGGAGAGAGGACCUGGGCAUCUGAGGGGACAAAUUUUUACCACCUUUUACUUUUUUUAAUGUUUAUUUAUUUUGAGAGAGAGAGAGAGAGUGAGCAGGGGAGGGGCAGGGGGAGAGAGGGGCAGAGGAUCCAAAGCGGGCUCUGUGCUGACAGCAGAGAGUCUGAUGUGGGACUCAAACUCACAAACCUGUGAGAUCAUGCCCUGAGCUGAAGUUGGAUGCUUAACCGACUGAGUCACCCAGGCACCCGACCACCUGUUACAUUUUAAUGUCCUAUCUUUUUUAAAAAAGCACCCCCUUCCUUAUUUUUAACUGAAGGCAGGAAGAGGGGGUGGUAAUUUGUAUCUCGGGAUGGGGAGGGUGGGCCUGACUGAUUUCAUCUCAGUGAUCCCUCUAUCUUCCCCCAGAAAGGCCAUCUUUGGGCAUUUUUCUUCACAUUGACUUGGCAUGAACUUUUAGUGUCACCAGUAGCUGCUCAACCUAAUAUUAGCUUUCAUUUCCUUUUCCCCGCCCUACGGAAGACAUCGUGCUUUCACAAACUUCAGGGUUCGGUGUGCGUAAAGUCCUGAGGCUCUGACCUGAUGGUCACCUGGUUGGUUCCAGCUGCUGGCAGCUGUGCGACACUCCAGCCGCUCACGCUUUAUUGCUUGCAGGCAGCAGCUGUUUUCAGCUAAGUUUGCUCCUUGUUCUGCGACUGUUCCAGUUGUUAGCUCUUCCUGCUCCGCUGGGGAAAGUCCCUUUAAAAGCCAUGUGCUUAAAACUGAAACCAGAGUCUAACGGCCAACGGUCACCACAAAGCACCCCCUAAAUACUCUCUGAUGUCCUGGCUUGAGGAACCCAGCUCCUAAACCUAGUAGUUUCUAAAUCUAGAUUUUUUUUCCCUCCAGAGGGGGGUUUUUGUCCCCUGUCUCUCCCUCCCCACCAUGCCUUUGCUUUUAUGAUUCAUAUUUUAAAUUUAGCCAAGAAUUGAAGAACGUUUUUUAAAGGCGAAAAGAUGAUCGGUCCCCUCUUUCUUUCUCUUCCAAACCAAAGGAGCAGGCAUUUCCCUUAGAAAUGUCUUUUUCUUAAUUAAAAAUUUUUUUAAGUUAAUUUAUUUUGAGAGAGAGAGAGAGAGAGAGGGAGGGAGAGAGAACGCAAGUGAGGAAGAGGCAGAGAGAGAGGCAGAGAGAAAGAAUCCCAAGCAGCCUCCAUGCCAGGAGUGCAGAUCUGGACUUGGGACCCGAAUUCACAAAUGGGAAAUCGUGACCUGAGCCAAAAUCAAGAGCUGGACAUUUAACCAACUGAGCCACCCAGGCGCCCCUUCCUUAGGGAUCUUUAGUGGGGUACAGGGGUUUACUUUAGGGGCCAGGCAGGUAAAGCAAAUUCGACUGGCCACCCAGGAGUGAGGUUAGCAGUAGGGGUGGGGACACUGGAAGAGCCCAGACACCCAGGCCCUUACACAGGAGGCAGCUGCUGCUGUGCUCUGGCUCAUAUUGGUACAUGGGAUUUGGGGGAGGGGUGGUUGACUGAGGCGGGGACGCAUGCAGGAUUUUGAUGUGAAAUUCCAUGCAUCUUUAAGACAUGGUGAGGGUCCCAAUCCAGGGUAGGCCUCCCGUGCACAUACUCUUCCCUAGGAAAAAGGCUGCACCUCUAGUUUUCUCCUGUGCCCCUUGGUUGGAAGCCUUCAGUGUGUUGGGACAGCCUUAGGAUGGCUGCAUGCAUGCUACUUGACCUCUGUCAUAGUCCAUUCUGUCUGCUAUAACAAAAUAGCGUUGACCGAAUAGUUUAUAAACAACAGAAAUGUAUCUCCCACCGUGCUGGAAGCUGGGAAGUCCAAGUUCAUGGGGCAGGCAGAUUCAGUGUUUGGUGAGGGCCUGCUUCUUGGUUCAUAGACAGCUGUCUUUGUGUCCCCACAUGGAGGAAGGCACUGGGGAGCUCGGUGGUAUCUCUUAUAAGGCACUAAUCCCAUUCAUGCAAACUCCACCCUUAUGACCCAAUCACCCCUAAAGGCCCCACCUCCUAAUUUCAUCACCUUAUGGGGGUAAGAUUUCAACUUAUGGAUUUUGGGGGACACAGACAUUCAGGCCAUAGCAAUCUCGUACCACACAAGUCCAUCAUGCCCUGUGGAACCAAAGGCUGUUUGAUUAAUAUGGUGACUCAAGGGGAGGUCAGUCCUGGAUGUGAAUGGUUUUAAUAAUUGUUUUGGUUGUUUUUGCUAUUUAGUUUGUGUUUCUACUAUCUAGCAUUUCAAAAUCAUUUAAAAUUGCUCACACCUUUUAGAUUACUUAGAGUUUUUUUUUUUCCUAUUUACUGUUUUUGGUUAACAUCUAUAUUGAGACAGAAUUCACAUACUGUACAAUUCACUCAUUUAGCUUGUACAAUUCAUGGCUUUUAGUAUAUUCAGAAUUGUGCAACCAUCACCACAAUCAAUUUUAGAACACUUUUCUCUCUCUCUCUUUUUUUUUUUUAGUAAUCUCUAUGGCCAAUGUGGGGCUUGAACACAUGACCCCAGAUCAAGAGUCACAUGCUCUAUCACCUGAACCAGCCAGGCGCCCCCUAUUUUACUUUAUUUAUUUUUUAAGAUUUUAUUUUUAAGUAAUCUCUACACCCAAAGUGGGGCUUGAACUCACAACCCCGAGAUCAAGAGUUGCAUACUCUUGAAUAUGCAGACUGAGCCAGCCAAACGCCCCACCCCCAAUUUUAGAACGUUUCAUUACUCCAAAAAGAAAUCCACCUGGCAGUGACUCCAAAUUUACUCCCCAGGAGAAAUGCUCCCCAGCCUCAGGCAGCCAUUAAUCUACUUUGUCUCUAUGGAUUUGUGUAUGACAGUCGUGUCAUAUAAAUGGAAUCAUGCAAUGCAUGGACUCUGUGUCUGUUUUUUCCCUUAGUAUGUUUUCAAGGCUCAUCUAUAUUGUAGCAUGUAUCAGUACUGUAUGCACAUUCAGUGCUAUGAAUUUGUUUAUUUUUUAUCUUUAUUUUUUUUGAGAGAGAGAGAGGGCACAAGUGAGCGAGGGGCAGAGAGAAGGGGCAGAGAGAGAGAGGGGGAGAGAAAGAGAGAAGCGGGGCUUGUGCUCAUUCGAUGUGGGGCUCAAACUCAUGAACUAUGAGAUCAUAACCUGAGCCAAAGUCAGACAUUAACCGACUGAGCCACCCAGGCACUUCUGUUUCUUUAUUUUUUAUAAAAUUCCCUUUAGGUACUGCUCUCACAAAUUCCUAUUAAAUUGCAUUUUCAUUUAGUUAAAAAUAUUUUACAGUUUUAAGACUUAAUUUUGAGACUUUUUUGACCCAUUUGUUAUUUGUGAAGUAUGCUGUUUAAUACAUUUUAUAUUAAUACAUCCAUAUAAUGGUUAUAAUAUAUAUUAAUAUGUCCAAAUAUUUGGGGAUCUUCCAGUUACUUUUCUGUUAUUGAUUUCUAGUUUAAUUUCAUUGUGGUCUGAGAGCAGACUUAGUAUGAUUUCUAUUCUUUCAAAUCCAGUGAAGUGCUUUUUUUUAAUUAAGUUUAUUUAUUUAUUUUGAGAGAGAUAGAAAGGAAGGGUCAGAGAGAGAGGGAGGGAGAAUUCCAAGCAGGUGAUACAUUGUCAGCAUGAGCCCAACACGGGGCUGGAUUUCACAAACCCUGAGAUCAUGAUCUGAGCUGAAAUCAAGAGUGACGCUCAACCAACUGAGCCACCCAGGCGCCCCACUGAAGCGUGUUUUAUGGCCCAGGUAUGGUCUAUCUUGGUGAAUGUUACAUGGGAAUUUGAGAAGAAAGUAUAUAGUCUGUUGCUGUUGGAUGAAGUAGUCCAUAAACGUCAAUUAGAUCCAGCUGAUUGAUCGUGCUGUUCAGUUCAGAUAUAUCCUUACGAUUUUCUGCCUGAUGGAUCUGUCCACCACAGAGAGAGAGUGCUGAAGUCUAUACCAGUGAAACUGUCCAUUUCUCAGCUCAGUUCCAUCAGCUUUUGUCUCUUGUAUUUUAAUGUUCUGUUGUUACGUGCAUACGGCUUAAGGACUGUUAUAUCCUCUUGGAGAAUUGACAUCUUUAUCUCUGAUUCUUCCUGUUCGAAGUCUGCUUUGUCUAGAAUUAAUGUAGCAAUUCCAGCUUUCUUUUGAGUAGUGUAAGCAUGGUGUGUCUUUCUCUAUCCUUUUACUUUUUUUUAAAUAUCUCAUCAACUUUAUUAAAUAAUUCAUGAAUUGGGCAGCAUGCCAUCUAGCAAGUAGAGGGGAACUCCCCCAUCCUUUUACCUUUAAUCUGUCCGUGUCUUCAUAUUUAAAGUGGAUUUCUUGUACACAACAUAUAAUUGGGUCUCUUUAAAUCCACUGUGACAGGGGCGCCUGGGUGGCUCAGUUGGUUAAAGCGUCUGACUUCGGCUCAGGUCAUGAUCUUACGGUUCGUGAGUUCGAGCCCCACGUCAGGCUCUGUGCUGACAGCUCAGAGCCUGGAGCCUGCUUCGGAUUCUGUGUUUCCCUCUCUCUCUGCCCCUCCCCUGUUCAUGCUCUGUCUCUCUCUGUUUCAAAAAUAAAUACAACGUUAAAAAAAAAUUAAAAAAAAAAUCCACUGUGACAGUUUCUGUCAACUGGUAUAUUUAGACCAUUCACAUCUACAUUGAUUAUAAAUAUAGUCAGAUUAAUACCUACGAUGUUUGUAACAUUUUCAUUCAUAGUACUUGUUCUUUAUUCUUUGUUUCUGUGGUAAAAUAUACAUAACAUAAAAUUUACCAUUUUAACCAUUUUUAUGCUUACAGUUCAGUGGCAUUAAGCAAACUCACAGUGUCGUAUGACCAUCACCAUUAUCUAUUUCCAGAACUUUUGACACUCCCAAAAGAAAAUCUGUACCCAGUAAACAAAAACUCCCCACUCCCCCUCAUCAUUGCCUCUGGGAAGCUCUAUUCUCCUUUUUGUCUCUGUCAAUUUGCCUCUUCUACCUACCUUAUAAAAAUGGUAUCAUAAUAUUUGUCCUUUUGUGUCUGGUUUAUUUCACAUAGUGCUAUAUAUAUAUAUAUUUUUUUCUUUUUUGAAGAUUUUAUUUUUAGCGGUACCUGGGUGAAUCAGUCAGUCAAGCAUGCCACUCUUGAUUUCAGCUCAGGUCGUGAUCUCAGGGUUGUGAGUUCAAGCCCUGUGUUGGGCUCCACACUGAGUGUGGAGCCUGCUUAAGAUUCUCUCUCUCCCUCUCUCUCUAUGUCCCUUCCCUCCUCAAAAUAAAUAAAGAUUUAGAAAAAAAGGAUUUUAUUUUAAAAUAAUCUCCACACCCAAUGUGGGGCUUGAACUUACAACCCUGUGAUCAAGAGUUGCAUCUUCCACCAAGCCAGCCAGGUGCCCCUAUACUAUACUAAAGUAUAAUAUUUUUGAGUUUCAUUCAUGUAGCAUGCAUCAGAAUUUAAUUCCUUUUUAAGGCUGAAUAAUAGUCCAUUACAUUGAUAUACCACAUUUUGUUUAUAUAUUUACCUGUUGAUGGACAUUUAUUGUGUGGUAAAGGUUGUCACCGCAUUUGGUGAUUGUGCAUAAAUAAUGCUGCUCUGAAUGUCAGUGUACAAGUUGCCUGUUUGAGUCCCUGCUUUUCUUGCUUUCUUAACUUUCCCGUCUUUUCUGCUUUUUCUGGUUUUGAGUAUUUAAAUUAAUUAAAUUAAUUAAUUAAUUAAUUUUUAAUUUAAGUUUUUAAAAUUUACAUCCAAAUCAGUUAGCAUAUAGUGCAACAAUGGUUUCAGGAGUAGAUUCCUUAGUGCCCCUUAGCCAUUUAGCCCAUCCCCCCUCCCACAAGCCCUCCAGUAACCCUCUGUUUGUUCUCUAUAUUUAAGAGUCUAUUAUGCUUUUUCCCCCCUCCCUGUUUUUGUAUUUUUUUUGUUUCCCUUCCCUUAUGUUCAUCUGUUUUGUCUCUUAAAGUCCUCAUAUGAGUGAAGUCAUAUGCUUUUUGUCUUUCUCUGACUAAUUUCACUUAGCAUAAUACCCUCCAGUUCCAUCCAUGUAGUUGCAAAUGGCAAGAUUUCCUCCUUUUUGAUUGCCAAGUAAUACUCCAUUGUAUAUAUGUAUCACAUCUUUUUUAUCCAUUCAUCCAUCGAGGGACAUUUGGGCUCUUUCCAUACUUUGGCUACUGUUGAUAGUGCUGCUAUAAACAUGGGGGUGCAUGUGUCCCUUCAAAACAGCACACCUGUAUCCCUCGGAUAAAUACCUAGUAGUGCAAUUGCUGGGUCGUAAGGUAGUUCUACUUUUGGUUUUUUGAGGAACCUCCAUACUGUUUUCUAGAGUGACCGCACCAGCUUGCAUUCCCAACUUAUUUUAUUUUUUUAAUGUUUAUUUAUUUUUGAGAGAGAAAGAGAGAGUGGGGGGGAGGGGCACAGAGAGAGGGAGGACAGAGGAUCUGAAGCUGAUUCCGUGCUGACAGCAGAGAGCCCGAUGUGGGGCUUAAACUCACAGACUAUGAGAUCAUGGCCCGAAAUCAGACGCUUAACCAACUGAGUCACCCAGGUCUGCCCCUGGUUUUGAAUAUUUUAAAAAAUUUUACUUUUCUCCUCUUAACAUAUCAGUUAUAGUUCUUGAAAAAAACUCUUUUUGGGGCACAUGAGAGGCUCAGCCAGAGUCAGGCAUCUGACUCUUGAUUUCAUGCAGAGCCUGCUUAGGACUUCUCUCUUCCCCUCCCCUGCUCAUGAUCUCUGCCUCUCUCAAAAUAAAUAAAUAAACAUUAAAAAACAAAACAAAACACCAGGGGCGCCUGGGUGGCUCAGUUGGUUGAGUGUCUGACUUUGGCUCAGGUCAUGAUGUCACAGCUCGUGAGUUCAAGCCCUGUAUGGGGUUCUGUACUGACAGCUCAGAGUCUGGACCCUGCAUCAGACUCUUUGCCUCCCUCUCUCUCUCUCUGCCCCUCUCCUGCUUGUGUUCUGUCUCUCAAAAAUAAAUAUUAAAAAAAAAACAAAACACCCAAACUCUCUUUAGUGGUUACUCCAGAGUUUGCUGGAGUUUGUUACAAUUAAUCAAAGUCUACUUUUCAAUAACUCUAGGGGCACCUGGGUGGCUCUGUCAGUUAAGUGUCCAGCUUCAGCUCAGGUCAUGAUCUCACGGUUCGGUCUGUGAGUUCGAGCCCCACGUCAGGCUUUGUGAUGACAGCUCAGGGCCUGGAGCCUGCUUUGGAUUCUGUCUCUCUCUCUCUCUGCCCCUCCCCUGCUCACACUAUGUCUCUCUGUCUCUCAAAAACAAAUAAAUGUUUUUAAAAAAUUAAAAAAAAGGGGGGGGGACAGCAAUGAGAACUUGAGAUCUCACUCCUCUGAACACCUCUCUCGGCAUUUGACCCACAGGACUCACUCUGACACUAGUCGAGGGAUGAGAAGCUUCUUAGCACUCCUCAAGGAAGAAUACUGUGGGAGACAGUAUCAGAGCCAAGGAGUGACCCCGCACAGCCAGGAGUGCAGGACUGGUUUGGCUAUGUUUAGGAGAGCACAGGAGGAAGGCAUUAGCUACACUGGAACAUGGGGAGAGAUCACCUUUGAGCCUGGUGUCCGAGGAAGAGCAGGUUCCUGCCUGGAGGGAGAGAGGGGCAUUCAGACAGAGGAAUAACAUUGGAGGGGGAUCCGUGACAGGGGAACAGAGGGGAGGUCAGUUGUGGCCAGAGAAGGGGGAAUGUUUUGAAUUUGUUGUUUCCGCUCUGGCCCUUAGAUACUGGUGGCCCUUAGGUACUCCACUACUCUCUGGCUUUUUUCUACUUUGCUCAAGAUCUUGGGACAGAAUCAGAACAAAAUACAAUGCAUUCCAGUCCUCUGUGUUUCAGAGAUGGCCACCAGAUGGCACUCUUUCCCCCUUCCAAGGCACACUGGCUGCCACCUCGGCCCUUCUGUACCUGGAACCUGCAUAUGGCUGCCUGAGGGCUAGUGGUUUGAGUGCCUUGGUGUACCUCUGACCCUUCAUGGGGGGAGGUCUGGUCUCCCUCUAAAACAUCCAGUGCUUCCCUGAGGGAGGACAGAGUCAAAGAGAAUGAAAUCCUGAGCCAGGGAGGAAGAGGCAAUCUUUAAAACAGAGGCGACCCAGACAGACAGUGUUGAUCUGAAGCAAGGACAGGAAGACAGUACCGCUGUGCCUCGUGUCCAGGGCCUGGCUAGGGGCCAGGGGGCGGCCUUUCUUUGAGAGCCUGGGCCUCUCAAGGCCAUGUCAUUACAUAGUGAUCAUGAUGGGGGGGUGGGGCAGCACCUGACCCCCGCCCCCACAUCAUCCAGUGUGAAGGAUUAGAGGCUGAUGUCACACCUGUGAGGAGUGAGAUAAUUCAUUUUCAGAAAUUCCAAACAAAAACUGUGCUGUCUAGUUAACAAUAGGUUUACAACCUAUUGGAAAUAUAUAUGAAACCGCCUCCCCCUCUCCCCCCAGCGGGGUCCCAAACCCGGAGGCACUUCACUUCCUGGUUCUUCUUCCCCCUCCAUCUCAGAGGCUUAUUUUCAUGGGCUCUGCAAUGAGCACGUGCCGAAGAACAAAGGAGGGACUGAAAGUCUUUUUUUUUUUUUUAAUUUUUUUUUUAACGUUUAUUUAUUUUUGAGACAGAGAGAGACAGAGCAUGAACGGGGGAGGGUCAGAGAGAGAGGGAGACACAGAAUCGGAAACAGGCUCCAGGCUCUGAGCUGUCAGCACAGAGCCCGAAGCGGGGCUCCAACUCACGAACCGUGAGAUCAUGACCUGAGCCGAAGUCGGACGCUUAACCGACCAAGCCACCCAGGCGCCCCGGGACUGAAAGUCUUUAAGUCACCUCAGGAAAUGUACAUUUGGUCCAAUUAGACUACUUUUUGCCUUACAUGGGCAUAGACAAUGUCCAGGUAAGGCUGUCACCUCUGUAGUACUCAGCCAGUGACAAAUCAGGGGAGGGACUUGCAUGUUGGGAGAUAAAUUGUCUGCUAUAACUGCCCCGAGUGUGCCUGUCCAUCAGAUACCCGCUCUUGCAAGAACGUUGCUUAAAGCCUCGCUUCACUGUGCUCCAAGUCUCUGCGUCCCUCCUCUGAUUGGGUCAGUGGGCUUAUUUCUCACACACCCUCCUGCCCCUGGCAGAUAUGUCUCUUUUCUGUCAGUUCCUGGGUGUGCCAUCUGGAACCAGCACCCCAUGACCUUACAGGGUCAUAAACCCACACGUUUCAGGGGCUGGGGAAGUGGUGUAUACCGAUGAAGCUGAGGGUAGGGGCAGACGACAGGGAGCGGUGGGGUCUGGUGAGAGCACAGUGUCCUCUUGACAGCAUUCCAAUUCACAUUUUCUUAUAACACAGUGCUGGCCUGACCAUGUACAUCAGCAUGCUACUUAGAUUUAAAAUGCCUGGCCCAGGAUAAAGUCCAAACUCCCUGCCAGGCGCCCAGGUGCUGGGGACCCUUCACAGCUAUUCCCAUCCUUUUCCUCCCCAUCUCCCACCUGGCCCCCAGGCACUUACACUGUAGCCACUGAACGUGCCAAGCCCCUCUACAGCAUUUGUCCCGGUCACAUGCCCUUUGUCAGGCAGGCCCUUUCUCCCCUUCCUCACCUCAUUCAAGAACCAGCUCAGGGGUGACCCUCCAUUCCGCUGGGUUGUGGGUACCUCAAAGGCCGACAGAGUCAGGACCACAGCACCGCUUCACUCCAAGGGGCGACUUCACUUCGGAUUCUUUGAGAAUGGCUCCCCCUGGUGUUUUAGGAGUUGUGCGCUGCCGCCUCCAGGCAGGGAGCCGGUACUCAGCGUGAUUUAAGUUACUGGGGUCGCGCACACCUCCACGGAGCGCCACCAGAUGGCGCCCGUCUAGUCCUCUGGGGCCUCCAUAUCACAGGCGGGUGGUGACUGGGGAGGAGGCUUAUGCACACAUCUCUGGCACUUUUGGAUCGCAAGCUUUUCUUUGUUCCAAAUGGCCCUUGGAUCUCAUGAACCCAGUGGAGGCCGGCUUGAGGUGCAUUUGUACCCCAUUCUGCCCCCACAGCUAAUUCUGAAUACCCUUAGCCUCAGUUCCUUACCACAUGGAUGAUGUUGACUCAAGAAAUUGCUGGCUGAGUCAUCAGACCCUCUCAUGAUGCUUAAGCUGUAAAAUAACAGCUCUGUGCAUCCCACUUGCCUAGACCUGCCCUGGAUCAGUCUGUGCACCCUCCUGGCUUGGGAAGGCCAUUGAUUAGGCCUGGGGUCUGGGUGGGCUGGACUCCAGGAGAGGUUCUGGAAAGAGCCCCCUCAGCACCCUGAGCCUGUGGUCAGAAGAGGGGGAAGCUGGGGAGACCCACCUACCGCUCUGGCACCUCCAGGAGGAGCUGGGCAUUAACCAUGAGAACAGCAGUGGCUAAAGGGCUAUUCAUCUGCCUUGUUUCUAUCAUUACUAGGGUCUCUGGAAUUUUUUUUAAAGGGCCUGGGGGAGCAAUCUGGUUGGAAGAAGGUAGCAUGUGGGGUGGAAAUGAGGGAGGCACCUACAGAUCUGCUUUGUGCCUAGUAAGGACAUUGCUUUUGCAGUUUAAUAAAGCAGCAAUAGUUUCUAGAGAUCUCUUUAUAACAGUUACUUGAGGAUGUUAUUAUGAUUAUUUAUUUUAUUUUUUAUUUUUUAAGGUUUAUUUAUUUUGAGAGAGAGAGAGUGUGUGCACAUGAGGGGGGGAGGGUCAGAGAGAGAAGGAGAGAGAGAAUCCCAAGCAGGGUCUGUGUUGUCAGCACAGAGCCUGACACCGGAUUUGAACCCACUAACGGUGAGAUCAUGACUUGAGCCGAGAUAAAGAGUCCCAUGCUUAACUGGCAGAACCAACCAGGCGGCCCUAUAAGUGUUUAUUUAUGAGGUUGAUGAAGAUUAUAGUGGGAGUUACUGUUUCCCUGUUAAAUAAUACGUUGGCUGCUAGUAUGAACCAGAUAUUUUUAUAUUCUAUUAAGAAAUAAUUCAUCUAUUAUUAGUUUACCAAGAACUUUUAAAAAUCAGAUAUAGCUUUUGAAAUUCAUAAAAGCAGACUUUUGGGCUCACAUCAAGAUAGAUAUAUAUAUACUUUUUUCCUUUUACCAAUUAACUUGCUAAAUUAUGACAAUAGAUUUCCUGAUACUGAAAUAUCCUGGCAUUGUUGUAAUAAACUUUAAUUAGCAGCAUUGCAGUGGUACUAUUUUAAUGUACUUCCUGAUUAAGUUUCCUGGUAUGUAUUUUAUUUAGAAUUUUGCAACAAUAUUCAUAGUACAUUUUGUUUUCAGGAUCUUUUUGGCUUUGUAAAAUGUAUUGGUAGACAUAUGUCCUUUUCUAGCUACUGAAACAAAUUUUGAGGUGUUGAAGUUAUUGCUUUCUUUCAGCUUUGAAAGAAAUCAUCUGUGAAACCAUCUGGGCUUGGCACUGUACUAAGUUAUAACGAUGUGCGAACUUUGUGUGUGUGUGUGUGUGUGCGCGUGUGUGUGCGCGCACGCGCGCGCAUGCAUGCAUGCGUAUGAUGUUAUUCGGUGCAUAAAAGCUUGUGGAUGUUUUUAAAAUAGAGACUGCCAAUAUUAAAUAACACUCUUUAAUUCUUUACUGUUUUCUGGCUUGAAUUUUACUUUGCUUGAUAUUCACACACCCUAAGUUCUUUCUGAGAACAAUGUGCCUUUCUUGAAAAAAUAUGAUUGAAAAUGGUUUUGACCUCACCUGAGAGCCCUUCACAAAGAUUUUUAAAACAUUUAUAUUUAUAGUAAAAAACUCUCUCUAGUCUUAUUUCUGUCAUCUUGAACUAUGCUUUCAUUAAAGUAAUGCUUCAUUCUUUCAUCCUUUGUUUUUGUAAAUGAGUUGUGUUUUCUUUAUUUUUCUUAGGGUUGGUUUAUUUGUUUGUUUGGUCUUAUAUAGAAUUGAGCUCAGCUGCGCAUAACAGAAACACCCCUAAAAUUCAGUGACUUAAAUAUUAUAGGAGUUUUUUCGUCUUCCUCGUGAAGAAGUUUGGAAGUAGGCAAUCCAAGCCUGAUAGUGACUCGGAAGUCAAUGCUCAGAGCUGAGGCUCCUCCCAGAUUUCUGGUCCACCAUGUCUCAUAUAGUUUCUCUCUUUCAGGUCAUUUCCUGGCUGUAGGUCAGGGUGGGAACUGGACUCCUGCAUUCUGUGUUCCUUGCUGGAGACCAUGCUUGCUGGAAUCAAGUACCUGGGAGGAUGACAUCACAAACGACCUGAAGCACUGUGCUGGUUAAUUUUAUGUAUCAACUUGGCUAGACCAUGGUGCCCAGUUGUUUGGUAGGUGCCCACUUGACCCACCAUGGUACUAGACCAUGGUGCCCAGACACAGCCUGUUGCUGUGAAGGUAUUUGGUAUGUGAUUAACAUUUGCAAUCAACUGACUUGAAGUGAAAGAGAUUACCCUCCAUCCAUAAUAUGGAUGGGCCUCACCCAAUCAGUUGAAGGCCUUAAGAGCCAAGAUUGAAGCUUCCUGGAUAGGAAGGAAUUCUGUCUUAAGAUUGUAACAUGGAAGAACUGCUUGAGUUUCCAGACUGCUGACCUGCUGUAUGGAUUUUGGUCUUGCUAGCCCCUACAGUUGUGUGAGCCAAUUCCUUAAAAAUCUCUUUCUCUCUCUACAUGUACACACACGUAUGUAUGUAGGGGUGUGUGUGUGUGUGUGUGUGUGUGUGUGUGUGUCUUUAAUCUCAGGACCCUUGCCUCAGCCCUGGAUUUUGGUAAGAGCAUUGGGAAUAAGAGCCAUGAUGACAAAGAAGUCAGGUCUUCUCCACCAGUUCAAGUCUGUCUACACCAGGGGAAGACUCAUGUAGUCCCCAGGGGUUAAGAGGUUAAUAUGGAGCUUUUAUACAUCAGUUUAGUACAUGACAGUGGUGAACAACGAUGAAUUUGGGUGCUUCAUAUCCAUUUACCCUGUUAUUAAUAAUAGUUCUGAAUUUGCAUUUACAAAUACACUCGAAUUUUGUAACUUCGUAUGGUGACAGAUGGUGACUAAGUCUAGUGGUGUUCAUUUCACAGUGUAUGCAAAUAUCAAGUCAUUAUUGUUGUACACUUGAAACUAAUAUAAUGUCAUAUGUCAAUUAUACUUCAGUUAAAAAAAAAAGAAAUAGACUCCAUCUCUACUCAAUGUUCCUGUGAUUCCAGUGAGGCUGACCCAUCUGCUAACAACAAGGAUGGCAUUAGACCUAGGUUUAAACCAGCCUGUGUCCUGGCCAGUGUGAUUGGGUCAGGGAGGGGCACCUGACCUAAUUCUGGCUAGUGAAAGUUAGGUCCAGCCUUUUUGUUUGAACUGGAUAGAAUAGAAAUAGACAGUCUCUAUUUUCUGCUGUUCUCAUACCUGGGAGGAGUGUAUUGAGCUGCAGCAGCUGUAUUGUCACCAUGAGCGGGGAGGCCAGCCUCAGAAGAAAGAUGCAGAACUGAAAGAUGGAGAGAGAGAAACCAGGUCCCUGUGACAUCAUUUGACUAUCUCCAUCAGCCACACCUGAAGUAAAACCUACUUCCUGGAUCUCUCAUUUACAUAAGUAAAUGUAUCCUUUUUUUUUUUUUUUUUGCUUAAGACAGGUUGGAUAUGUUUUUUUUUUUUUAAUCAAAAAAACCAAAGAAUGUUCAUGAUACCAUUAUGUGCGCUACUGAUUUUUUUUCUAAGAACAAGCCAGAUCAAAUAACCUGGCAUCUGAGUAGCAGGAAACAAAAUAAGGGACUGCUUGGCAUGAGAUAACAUUUGGAUAAAAACAGUGACUCAAAGAACAGGUUCUUUUUAGCUACACAUGCCUGAGAUGAAGGUCUUGGGCUACAUUGAUGCAAAAGUGGGAGCUUUUUCCUGCAAAAUUGCCUUCCU
Molecule: long non-coding RNA, 38548 nt
Filed under: Lynx pardinus (Iberian lynx)
Lineage: Eukaryota; Metazoa; Chordata; Mammalia; Carnivora; Felidae
Rfam family: tRNA (bases 29207-29292)
Source: RNAcentral